RNAcentral lists this ribosomal RNA (253 nucleotides) under uncultured bacterium. RNAcentral describes it as "partial 16S ribosomal RNA". It matches the Rfam family "Bacterial small subunit ribosomal RNA", at positions 524 to 776 of the family's 1533-position model. The record is from RNAcentral.
UACGUAGGGGGCUAGCGUUGUCCGGAUUUAUUGGGCGUAAAGAGCGUGUAGGCGGCCAGGUAGGUCUGCUGUGAAAACUCGAGGCUCAACCUCGAGAUGUCGGCGGAAACCAUCUGGCUAGAGUCCGGAAGAGGAAAGUGGAAUUCCUGGUGUAGCGGUGAAAUGUGCAGAUAUCAGGAAGAACACCCGUGGCGAAGGCGGCUUUCUGGGACGGUACUGACGCUGAGACGCGAAAGCGUGGGGAGCGAACAGG